UUCAAGUAUGCAACAGCCAAGGUCACAAGGCCUUAUUUUGCAUAAGGUAACUGUCCUGAACAAGAUAUUCAUUGCACAAUUCCACUGCAUGGAAAAGCAAAGCUCAGUGGUAGUGUCAAGACCUGGCUGUGGAAAGUGGUUCAGUGUCUACACGUACCAAGAUGUUAUCAAGCAAUGCACACUGGAUUAGAGUUAUAAAAUUUUUAAGUCUUUUAGAACAAGUUUCUCAUAUUGUAUGAUGGAGAUCCUGGCCACCAUUGAGAAGCACGUGCAGAAGGAGGUGGUGCACCCAAGAAAAUGGAAUUUGUACUCCUGCAGCAAACGGCUUUUCCCCUUUAGAAGGAAAAUCUCUCUCUGGGACUCUAAGUCUCUAUAGACUGAGGAAGCUUUGUGCAUAAACAAACUACUGCAAAAGAAAUACACGUACAGAUAGAAAAGAGUCACAACUGCAACUGAAAAAUAAGGAAAAGCCAUACAUAACUUCAUUAAGGAGUAAAAGUCUUCUGAAGCAGCUUAACGUCUUUGUUGAAGCAAGUAAUUACAAUGCAAACAGCAGAAAGAAAAACAGCUUUCUUGUUUAAACGCUGUCCUGUACAGCAGGGGCCUGAUUCCACAGCCCACAGCCAGGGAUCAGUUCUCAAGGCAUCAAGCACAGGAUUCAGACUGACGCCAGCACAAAUCCCAGGCACAGGAAGCUCCCAGGGCUGGGCCCUCAGUCCUGGCUUUGGCAUGCAUUUUACUGCCUGCAGUGGUAAUUUUCACUAUGAAUAAACCAAACACAUUGUUUUCACUACAGAUGUUUUUAAAAGGCCCUCUGAAGAAACCCAGCUGAAAAGCUGUGAUCUUUAGAGAUCCUGACAGGAUCCACAUGAUGGCCAUUAGAAAUUUUACCUUUGGACUCCUUUUCCUUAUUUAAAUUGUUUCUUCAGGAAGGCCCUCCAAAAUGAAACAUCGCUGACUUCACCCAAGUUUGGCACAUGCAUCAUCUCAGUUGGGCACACAAUAACCGGAGAUAAUUAGGCAACAUACUUAAGCCAUUUUGAAAGGAAGGAGGGUGGACGUGUGCCAUGGAUUUGUAGCCCUCAGGAUACAAGCAGUCAACCAAGUUUAAAUGCUUGCAAAAUAAAAAUAAAUAAAUAAACCCCUGGCACUAUAGGGGAACUGGAC
This is a long non-coding RNA of Cygnus olor (mute swan), 1167 nucleotides long. RefSeq lists it as uncharacterized. Lineage: Eukaryota; Metazoa; Chordata; Aves; Anseriformes; Anatidae. The transcript is spliced from 4 exons. The record is from RefSeq and is a predicted model, not a curated record.